GCACUGGGGCGGUGGUGGCUAUGAGGAUUUGGUCAGUCCCCUGUUCCAGGGAGUCAGGUGUUCUUGUGAAGGGCAAAACCCAUAUCUUUCUAAUGGUAUGCAACAAAUUUUUGACUACACAGUUCUUAAACCAGUGAAAAGGUGCCUUAACUGAUAAUAAUCAAAAAGCCCUACUAGCCUUAUUCAUGCCUGACUUGAGCUCUUCAUAGUUAUGUUGGCUUUUUGCAUUAAGGUGUGAUCUAUAAUGUUUUGGAGCUGUCCCAUACUGGCUAUUUAAUUAGUUUGCCUGGUGUCUAUUUAAAAUCUUUCUGCAUCUUGAAAAGUAAUCUAAUUUCCCAAAUACCAGAAAGAUAAUCAUAUUCUGUACAAAAUUUGACAUGAUUUUUAAUAUUGUACUUGUCUAUGGCAUAGUCAUUUUUCUAUUGCAGUAGUGGUAAUAAACUCAUCAGUGCUUAAAGAAUUUCUGGAGAUCUGUCUUCAGCAAUGAGCUGUUUUUCUUGAACUGUACAGCUUAAGCACUUAUUAUACAGUGCAGGAUUAAUGAAAACUAUGUGUGCUUCAGUGUAUGUCUGUGUGGUAAUGCUAAAUACAGAAACACCAUCACAGAACUCAAAAGAAGGAUGCAGUUUUCCUCUUCUUGUUAUGGCCAGAUUUUUCAGGGGCUUUUUGUCAGUGUAAAGAGAAGUGAAUGGUACUAAAAAUAUUUGAAAGUAUGUGGAAACUUUACUGCAAAUAUUUAGUGGGUUUCAAGAUGCAGGUGUUGAAGUUGACUGUUAUGAAUGUCUGGAAUGUUACUGAUAGUAAAUCUGUAGCUGCAAGCUUUAUGGAAACUAUUUUAUUCUUAGUUGACAGAUUUAAAUUGAGGAGGAGGGGUGAGGUGAUGUCAUAAUCCUUAGCUUCUGACACUGUUUUUCAUAUUGAAUACAAGAGGUAGUUUUUUCAAAUGAAUUCUAGGGGAUAUAUUCAUCUCUUCUGUGCUUAGGCCUAUUGAGCAUUUCCUCACUUGUAAAAUCUCUUUGUACUCACUUGUACAAUUUCAUAUCUCUGAGCUAUUUGCUGCUGUUUUUUUCAGGUAAUGACCUUUAAUUAUUCCUUUGUCUAUUUGCUUCUGCGCUGAUGUGGAACUGUCAGCUUGGAGCCCUAUACAUUGCCUGCAGUUCAGCACAUCAUCGACAUUUCUAUAGAAACUGUUGAAAUUGUGUGAUUCUGCACACUUCACUUACGUGCUUGGCAGCAGUCCCAUCAUGGGUAUAGCUGUUGUUUUUCCUCUCUACUGAAUGUUCCAGCUCUUGCAGUGUCAGUUCCUUCACCAGCCAUCUGUCUUGCUGGCUCACUCACUAUCUUAACAGCUCUCCUUCUCAGACUAGAUAUAAGUCCUAGUGAGUAUGCCAUCAGCUGUUAAUUUUUUAUUCAGAAGCUUUUAAAACAAUUGUUGCUGCACCCAAAUAUUCUGUAUUUCAAUCCUCUCUAUCCCAUCCUUGUCUCUUAAUGGUUGCUUUCUUCUGCAUCCUCCUUCUUACAGGUUUCUUUGCAAAUUGUUUGUCUAUCACUUAAUUUCUUUUCCUGAAAGUUUUAGGGUAAUUUUCUUCAAUUUGUUAACUUGUCCCUGAAUUCUAUCUGGGGAUUACAUGUGUGAAUGCAAGGAAGGCCUAAUCCAGUUCUCUUUCAUGUGGCACAGUUACUCUACAAUCACUGAAAGAAGCAUCUAAGUACUUUCAGAUAUUACAGGAGUCAAGUAAUAGCUCCUGAGAAGCGUAAGAUUGUUACCUUUUUUGUCAAUAAGUUAGAUAAUAACUUCUUUGUGGUGGUAUCAGUGUUACAGAUAGGAUAGAUUGUCUUGUAGCUCAGGGGCUGGCAUACUGCUAAACAAUCUAGCAAUCUUUGUGAUGAAAAGUUCUAUUUGCUUGUAAGUCAGUCAGGCCUGGAUGCAAAAUUGCUUUAUGAAGCCCUGAGAGUAUAGUAUUUCUUAUUAUAGUAGCAGUUUGGUUUAUUUUCGUACACUAUACUCACUUUAUAAUCUUCCAAUAGCUAAGAUUCAGUUAGAUAGUGUUGAAAGCUUUAUAAACAACUACUUGGGUUUUGUGCAAUUUUCAGUUGUAGAAAUGAACCACACAGAUAAUAACUUCACCAGAGACAUACCAGCCUUUCUUCUUUUUUAAUGUGUAUUGAUAAUCCUUUCUCAGACCUUCUGUUCCUUUCCUGGACAAAUUCAAAUAUUGUUUAUUGCUAGUGCAAAUUAGUCAGCGAAGCAUCUGCAGUUGGUAGCUGUCCACAAUGAAGAAGCCCCAGAAGAUUAAAACUCCCAGUCGAUUUGCAGGCAAAUCAACUCCCUAAUUGUAGAAUGUGACUUCAGUAGGAAGGUGAUUGUCUCCAAAACCCUAUUAAGUGAGUGAAGCUACAGAUGUCUUAGACUAAGAAGAGCAAGUAUCCAGAUUCAAGAAAGCUGAAGAGGAAACUGGGUCAUCAAUAGAGUUCAGCUUCAAGCUCAAUGAAGGACUCCUAGAGGAAAAGCUAUAAAUCUUUGAUCUCUCAUCUCUAUGGCAGUGCUGAUUUCACAGAAGUAACUGUGAUGAAGGAGUCGGGAACUGAGUAUUUUUUCUUCUAGUCUGUGAUACUUGAAGUGUUUCAGGGCACACUUAUAAUUCUGAUGUAUUUUCACUUGUCAUUUCUCACUGAGACAGAAUCUCUCAUUAUUUUCAAUGACAGUACUGCUUAGCAAUACAGGAAGCAUGGAGUAGCCUGUACAGAAAGCUACAGCCCCUCAACAGAUAUCUGCUUACUUUCCUUAGAUACUAUCUCUUCCCAGAAAGGCUUAAACUCUGUUUUUUCUCCAGCCAGUUAUUCCUUAGAAAAGAAAGAAAACAAAGUUUCACAGCUUCUUGGUAAUGAAUUUUCCUGCUAUCCUCUUUGCAAUGCAAUUACCUGAAAGAAAUCUAUGGAAUUUUACCCCUUUUCCCAACAUGGCUGUACCAAUAUUUGGAGUAAGUGAAAGGAAUAAAAUGACUGCUUAACUCUUCUUUUGGCAGAGAAAAUGUUGAAGCAAGACAUCCUGCUUAAAAGUGAAAAGCUUCUAUUUCAAGCACAAUAUAGAAGAGCUAAAAAAUCACCAAAACCCUGUGCUAAAGCAAAACUGUUAAUCACUCUUAACUCUUUUAGAAAUAGUCAAGAGGGAGAGAUUAUCUCUCUUCUGCUUGAGUCAGUUUUAAAAUAUAUUAAAAUUUGUGUACUUUUGAGUGGCAGAUGUGGCUUGUCACUUUAAAGGGUAUUUUUGCUAUUGUUAACACUGAAAUAGAUUGUACUUGAGGAACAGUAGUUAAUAGAAGUCUUAAGGAUCUCAGAGAAAAUACUUGUCUUGCAUUUAUUAUCUCAGCUUUCAGAUUUAAGCAGCUGUAUAUGGUUAAACUUUGAAAUUAUGUAACAGUAAUAGAAUGCUAUUCAAGUUGAUGCCUUUUAGAAGACAAGGGAGUGGGGGUGUGAUUGUACAGUAAACCCACGUUAAACUCUUUCCUUUACUGUACUUCUUGAGACAGCAAUCAGCUACCUAGAACCGAGCCCAGAACGUGCUCUCUGCAGUUUGCUCUGAAAUCAUAGUGCAUCUUGUAGGGUUUUUUCCAUAAGACACUGAUGUAAGUCUAAGCAUUGAUGUAAUUCAUAUUUAAAUCAGAAUUUCUGAUAGCCUAUGUUGUUUAAUUGUAACCUGUUCCCUGGUAACAUAUUUCUAGAGUAAACAUCUUAUUAUCUGAAGAAUAUGCAUUUUUAAUUAUCUCAAAACUGAACUGAAUUGUUACAUCUUGUUUUUAUUCUGUAGUUGAGCUGUGUCAUAGGUCACACACUAUUUUCCAAAGUGCAAGUUUCAACAGAUGUUGUGUGAAUGUUAACAAAGGGCACCUUUAAAAAUCAUCUCACAUACUUUUUAGGAUGCCAGUUUAAUGCUUUUCUGCUUGGUAUAAGUGAUGCUGAAGUUAUAAUGCACUUCCAAAGCAACAUAGCAAACCAUAUCACCAGAGCAACUCUUUACUGCAAAUGCAGCAAGAAUAAUCCUUUUAUGCUGGCAUAAAGCUAAGGGGACAGGCAGAGGAUAAACUUCUUGUGAGUAGAAUAUUGGUUGUGUAUGGGUUACUCUUCUUUUAUAAUUUCUGAGACAUCUUGGUUCCAAGUUUAAAGAAGAUUGUAUAACCAUCUUAAAUGGAACUUUAAUGGAAAUUCUGUUUGUUUCAGAAAUUU
Molecule: non-coding RNA, 4224 nt
Organism: Cyanistes caeruleus (blue tit)
Lineage: Eukaryota; Metazoa; Chordata; Aves; Passeriformes; Paridae
Source: RefSeq, a predicted model, not a curated record